GAUGAACGCUAGCGGCAGGCCUAAUACAUGCAAGUCGAACGCUCAGUAGCAAUACUGGGAGUGGCGCACGGGUGCGUAACGCGUACACAAUCUACCUCUAAGCGGGGGACACCUCCUGGAAACGGGGAUUAAUACCGCAUAAUAUGCCGAAGUCGCAUGACUUUGGUAUUAAAGCAGCAAUGCACUUAGAGAUGAGUGUGCGUCCCAUUAGGUAGUUGGUGAGGUAACGGCUCACCAAGCCUAUGAUGGGUAGCCGGUCUGAGAGGAUGGUCGGCCACACGGGCACUGAGACACGGGCCCGACUCCUACGGGAGGCAGCAGUAAGGAAUAUUGGUCAAUGGUGGAAACACUGAACCAGCCAUGCCGCGUGGAGGAAUAAGGUCCUACGGAUUGUAAACU
This 399-nucleotide ribosomal RNA is filed under the name uncultured bacterium. Its description in RNAcentral is "bacterial SSU rRNA". It matches the Rfam family "Bacterial small subunit ribosomal RNA", at positions 28 to 431 of the family's 1533-position model. The record is from RNAcentral.